CACAUGCAAGUCGAACGGAGAUUACAGGCGGAAGUUUUCGGAUGGAAGCUUGUAAACUUAGUGGCGGACGGGUGAGUAACACGUGAGCAACCUGCCUAUCAGAGGGGGAUAACGAUUGGAAACGAUCGCUAAUACCGCAUGACAUAGCGGAAUCGCAUGGUUCUGUUAUCAAAGAUUUUAUCGCUGAUAGAUGGGCUCGCGUCCGAUUAGAUAGUUGGUGGGGUAACGGCCUACCAAGUCGACGAUCGGUAGCCGGACUGAGAGGUCGAACGGCCACAUUGGGACUGAGACACGGCCCAGACUCCUACGGGAGGCAGCAGUGGGGGAUAUUGCACAAUGGGGGAAACCCUGAUGCAGCGACGCCGCGUGAGGGAAGACGGUCCUCUGGAUUGUAAACCUCUGUCUUCGGGGACGAAACGAGACGGUACCCGAGGAGGAAGCCACGGCUAACUACGUGCCAGCAGCCGCGGUAAUACGUAGGUGGCAAGCGUUGUCCGGAAUUACUGGGUGUAAAGGGAGCGUAGGCGGGCAGGCAAGUCAGGCGUGAAAUAUAUCGGCUCAACCGGUAACGGCGCUUGAAACUGCAGGUCUUGAGUGAAGUAGAGGUUGGCGGAAUUCCUAGUGUAGCGGUGAAAUGCGUAGAUAUUAGGAGGAACACCAGUGGCGAAGGCGGCCAACUGGGCUUUUACUGACGCUGAGGCUCGAAAGUGUGGGGAGCAAACAGGAUUAGAUACCCUG
RNAcentral lists this ribosomal RNA (738 nucleotides) under uncultured bacterium. Its description in RNAcentral is "bacterial SSU rRNA". It matches the Rfam family "Bacterial small subunit ribosomal RNA", at positions 52 to 789 of the family's 1533-position model. The record is from RNAcentral.